AGACUCAAUCCCUCGGGUUUCCGAGGAGAUUGGACUUGGGCGCUGCCGCUCUGACGGCUCGCCUUAAAAGACUUAGCGGGAUAGCACCGUAGUCGGCGUAAUAAAUUUCGUCGGUGAAGGUUGUGAUGACUGCUUACAAUCGCCCUCGGGCAAUUUUUGA
Molecule: unclassified non-coding RNA, 160 nt
Filed under: uncultured Cryptococcus
Lineage: Eukaryota; Fungi; Basidiomycota; Tremellomycetes
Description: sequence contains ITS2
Source: RNAcentral